RNAcentral lists this small nuclear RNA (23 nucleotides) under Arabidopsis thaliana (thale cress). RNAcentral's name for it is "snRNA_08597". Lineage: Eukaryota; Viridiplantae; Streptophyta; Magnoliopsida; Brassicales; Brassicaceae. The record is from RNAcentral.
UUUAAGUCAGAAAUUUUUAGGUU